UAGCUCAGUUGGUAAAGAAUCUGCCUGCAGUGCAGGAGAUCCAGGUUCAAUCCCUGG
Ovis aries (sheep) is the source of this 57-nucleotide transfer RNA. It matches the Rfam family "tRNA", at positions 8 to 63 of the family's 71-position model. Rfam says of the family: Transfer RNA (tRNA) molecules are approximately 80 nucleotides in length. Their secondary structure includes four short double-helical elements and three loops (D, anti-codon, and T loops). Further hydrogen bonds mediate the characteristic L-shaped molecular structure. tRNAs have two regions of fundamental functional importance: the anti-codon, which is responsible for specific mRNA codon recognition, and the 3' end, to which the tRNAs corresponding amino acid is attached (by aminoacyl-tRNA synthetases). tRNAs cope with the degeneracy of the genetic code in two manners: having more than one tRNA (with a specific anti-codon) for a particular amino acid; and 'wobble' base-pairing, i.e. permitting non-standard base-pairing at the 3rd anti-codon position. Lineage: Eukaryota; Metazoa; Chordata; Mammalia; Artiodactyla; Bovidae. The record is from Rfam.